Molecule: small nucleolar RNA, 142 nt
Organism: Apodemus sylvaticus (European woodmouse)
Lineage: Eukaryota; Metazoa; Chordata; Mammalia; Rodentia; Muridae
Product: small nucleolar RNA SNORA20
Exons: 1
Source: RefSeq, a predicted model, not a curated record
UUUCCCAUUAAUUUGCUGCUCUAGUCUGUCAGUGAUGGGAGUGGUUAUACGCAUGGGAUAAAAUAACAUUGGGCCAUUGUACAUGGAGAUGAAAUGUGUUUUGUUUUGUUUUUUUUGUCUCUCGUACAUGGUCUAGACAUUG